RNAcentral lists this ribosomal RNA (2400 nucleotides) under Triticum aestivum (bread wheat). Its description in RNAcentral is "partial small subunit ribosomal RNA". Lineage: Eukaryota; Viridiplantae; Streptophyta; Magnoliopsida; Poales; Poaceae. The record is from RNAcentral.
AUGCCACGGGAAUUGUCCUCGGACGUGCUCGCGAGCAUCGUCCAUCGGCUCCCUCCGAGCACCCGGCGGCUGACCCGCCUGGUCUGCCGGCACUGGCGCGACGUGGUGGACACGCGCACGGCCAAGAUGCAGAGCCGCGCCAAGCUUCUCGUCGGCACCGGGGAGGGCUCCGCGUACGUCGUCGUGGACGACGAUCCAUCAAAAUCAGCAGGGAGCCCCGGAAGAUAUCUUUGGGAAAACGACGCCAACGCCCGCCCUGGCCCCCGCGAAGGCACGAUGCCGAUGGUCGUCGGCACCUGCAACGGCCUGAUCUGCCUCCGCGGCAAGCGGAAGCCCGACGGCGUCAUCACCCUGGUCAACCCGGUCACCGGCGAGAGGCUGUCUCUCCCGCCGCUGCCGUCCGCCGCCGGCGCCCCGGAGAGGACCUGCUUGGUAGGCUGGCACGAGGCGUACGGCUUCGGGUACCACCCCACGGCCAGGCGGCACAAGAUCGUGCAUGUGGACGCAUACGCUAAGAGAGGAAACUUGCAGCAAUUGAAGGUGUUCACGUUGGGGGAGUCGUCAUGGCGGGAUGUUGCCACGGGCUCUCUCCCGAGAUGCAAUUACAGCGCCGGCAUCGUGGGCGUCGACACCAUGUACUGGGCCGCCAAGAAGGGAAAGAAGCUCAUGGCAUUCGACCUCGGCCGCGAGCGCCUCACCUUCAUCAAGUCGCCACCGGAUGCGCCUUCUGACGGCUGGCACCUGACGGAGGUGCGGGCAAGGUUGGCGAUCCUGUAUCCUCUCUUGCCGGCUGAAAAGUCUGAGGUGUUGGUUCUAGAGGACAAUUUGACAAUGAAAGAGCACAAUUGGAGCCGGUUGUACAUAGUCGAGUCGGACAUACCACCGCACUCAUCGCCGAUGUACUGUCAUCUCACUAGGGAUGUCGUGAGUAAACACAAGAUGAGCAACGAUAACGGGGUGGUGGAGAUCCAUGAGAAAAGUUGGGGAAGGAUAAUCCUUAGUAGACACACAUUCGUCUACGUGGAGACAACAGUGCCGCUAUGUGUUUAUAGAUAGACGACGCCCAUGGAGUUGCCCCCGGACGUCCUCGUGAGCAUCAUCCUGCGGCUCCCUCCGAGCUCCCGGCGGCUGACCCGCCUGGUCUGCCGGCAAUGGCGCGACGUCGUCGACAUGCGCACGGCGGAGAUGCAGAGCCGCGCCAAGCCUCUGGUCACCACCCCGGCGGGCCGGCUCCGCGAGGAGGGCGGCGCCAUCACCCUGAUCAACCCGGUCACCGCCGAGAGGCUGCCUCUCCCGCCGCUGCCGUCGCACGCCACGUUACGGCACUUCACGAUACGCGAGCACGCGAGGUACGGCUUCGGGUACCACCCCACGACCGGGCGGCACAAGGUCGUGCAUGUGGGGGAUUACGGCAGGAAGGGGAACCCUCAGGUGAAGGUGUUCACGUUGGGGGAGGCGUCGUGGCGCGACGUCGCCACGGCCCCUGGCCCGAGAUGCGACUACCGCGCCCGCAUCGUGGGCGUCGACGGCACCAUGGACGUUGUUGCAAAAUUUCUUUUGCAACAUGAUCCUUGUUGCAAAAAACAUCUCCGCCAGUACCUGUCACCAUUGCAACCCUAUCUAUCAACAGGAAGAUAUCUUUGGAAAAACAACGCGCGCCCCUAUGAAGGCAUAAUGGUCGUCGGCACCUGCAACGGCCUGAUCUGCCUGUGCGACAACCAGGAGGAGGGCGGCGCCAUCACCCUGAUCAACCCGGUCACCGCCGAGAGGCUGCCUCUCCCGCCGCUGCCGUCGCACGCCACGUUACCGGACUUCACGAUACGCGAGCACGCGAGGUACGGCUUCGGGUACCACCCCACGACCGGGCGGCACAAGGUCGUGCAUGUGGGGGAUUACGGCAGGAAGGGGAACCCUCAGGUGAAGGUGUUCACGUUGGGGGAGGCAUCGUGGCGCGACGUCGCCACGGCCCCUGGCCCGAGAUGCGACUACCGCGCCCACAUCGUGGGCGUCGACGGCACCAUGUACUGGGCCGCCAAGCGCGGCAAGAAGCUCAUGGCGUUCGACCUCGACUGCGAGCGCCUCACCUUCAUCAAGUCGCUGCCGGAGGCGUCGUCUGACAGCUGGCACCCCGCGGCGGUGCUGGGGAGGCUGGGGAUCCUGUUUUUUCACGAGCGGAUUCAAAAGUGUGAGUAUGUAUUCACAACUGCAUUGACAUUUUUGCACGUGAAAAAUGUGACGAACGAUGUAAUUGACGGCAAGCGCGGCAUGAUCUACAUCCCGCGCCAGAAGAUUUCAAAAUUGACCUUAACAAGCGACAUAAAGGGUCUGAAGCGGGCGCGCCGUGACGCCAAGAAAAACAAGGGGCAUCCGAAGAAGCAAAAGGUCAACCCUGGUGAAUAA